Molecule: long non-coding RNA, 870 nt
Organism: Maylandia zebra (zebra mbuna)
Lineage: Eukaryota; Metazoa; Chordata; Actinopteri; Cichliformes; Cichlidae
Source: RefSeq, a predicted model, not a curated record
GUCACCUUACUGCAACAAGGUUGUGGGUAGGGUUGCCAACUUCCUGAAAAAUAAAUAAGGGACACCUCGUGGCCAGGGCCAGGCGACCCAGUUGUCUUCACCCUUCCCAGUGUGAUUCUAGAUCAGCCAUAGGUGUGGACAUGAGAGUAAGGAGUUCUCUCUUUUGGCUGGACCUGAUAGACUGGCAACAUGUCAAGGGUCACCCUGCUCUCACCCAAUGGCUGCUGAGGUAGAUCCAGAUCAAAGCAGCCGAGAAACUGAAGUAAUUCCACCAGCUACUUGAGGUAAUUCGGCUGUCUUGUAAGGAUGCUUCCUGUGCGUCUCCUGCAUGAGUUGCUUCGGGCAUAUUCCACCAGAAGGAAGCCCCAGGGCAGACCCAGGAUAGCUGGAACCCCCAGGCCUCGAGUUUGACACGUAUACAAAAGGAACAUUGUCACUUCAGGGGUCAAGCAGGUAUUUCUUUUAAUUUCCAUAGUGCACGCCCAUAUAUAUGAGGAGGAUAGAAAGAUCUACAUAAAUUCGUUAUAUUUUCUUGAGAACAUCAAGACCGUCAACAUCAAGAUCUCCCAGUUUUUCUCAUUUCAUUUUGAUAUGCAUUUGCAAAGAUACGACACAAAAGAUCCUACCUCACAAUAGUAAAGCUCGUAAAUUCUUCCAAAAAUUCCUGGAUCUGUUCCAAAGACAAUUCCUUUGACGCUGGGCCUCUAAAAACCUCACCUUUCAUUACGUAUUUCUUCAGAUCUGUCCCUAACUUAUUGAGUAAUUCUGUAAACAUGCAUUAUGGAGACAAUAAAUAUUAAAGCACUCCUUUGACAUUUAUCAUCUUGUUCUUACAUCACUGUUUAAAACUCAAGGCGCUCUGUGCAAUCA